AGAGUGCAGCGUGCUUCUACUCCC
This 24-nucleotide non-coding RNA is filed under the name Arabidopsis thaliana (thale cress). The record is from RNAcentral. Lineage: Eukaryota; Viridiplantae; Streptophyta; Magnoliopsida; Brassicales; Brassicaceae.